ACAACGCAAAAUGACAACAAAAGACAUUAAAUCUCCACUAAACAGCCACAAACAGUGACAACAAAUAAAUGGAGAAUGAUCGCAAAGAGGCAAAAUAGCCAUAAAAGGGAAAAAAAAAAUAAACAAUUCUACAAAGAGGGACAAUGUGACAAAUGUGUAAAAUGAUCAGAGUUACAGAGUAGCUAAAAAGACCGAAAGUCCCAGAGAGACAACUGAACUAUAAAGACAUAAGACUCCAAAGACACAAAGGAAACACAAAAAGACGACACAAAGUAACUACAUAGAUAUAGCAUCUAUGAGGACCUGCCAAAUAAUUAACUACAGACACAAAACAACCACAGACACAAAACAACCACAGACAAAGCAUCUACAAAGAAGCACAAAAUGUCUAUCCAGAGAAUCGAAAUAACUACAGAGAGCCUGAAAAUGACAACAAAGAAGCACAAAUGACUAAAAAGUUUAAGAAAAUGACAAAAAAGUAAAAACAUACAGCUGACAACCCAACGGGGAACCUGGACAUAAAUGGAGGCCGGAUGACUGAGGAGAUGCAGCUCUGGACUGGAGGCUUCUUCAUGUCUGAACCGUCCAGCACCACAGCAGCCGUUGUGUUCCUUCUGAUUGUGCGUGUUUUGUCAUGUUCAGACUCACAUCCAUGGAGGUCAGGGGUCAGACAGACGAGCAGCGUCUCUCCUCGCUGAGGAAUGAGGCUGCAGUGAUGGAUAACCUUCUCCAGGCUAAGUGUUGGCGCACGUCGCAGCCACAAAUUACAUCUUAAUGAUUCUCUUUACAGAUCAUCACCCAGAGGAGGGAAGCAGGGAGGGAUACGACUGCUGCCCUCCGACGCUGCUCGGCCUAAACGUUGCUGGGUAUGAUGGAGGAGAAAUUAGGGGCAACAGAGCAAGAAGAUGGUUUGUGUGUUGGCUGUGGAAGAAAGACGGAUGGUGUUUAAUUGGUCCUACAGCAUACAAGCCUUAAUGAGCUGUACAGUGGUAGGAUUUGAAUCCACACCUCAGAAGAGAUUGGAGUCUUGAUCCACACCUCAGAUCCCUCAGCCACACUACCCUGCGAUACACUGAGGAGGUGAAAGGCCCUGACAGACCUGGAGGCAGCAUCCUGUGGAUUGCAGAGCUGAAAAGACACAAGGCCUUUACAGAAGCAGCUGGAGCAAUCGAUGGCUGCCAUGCAGGCAUCAAUGCCGUGGAGCGGAUCUAAUGGUCAGUGGAAAAGGAAACUGCUCCAUUCUGUGCUGCUGCAGGCUGCUUGUUGCCAUUAUUGUGUUGUUUGGGACCAUGACUGACUCUUAUGUGGGUUGGUCUGGGUUAGUCCAUAACUCCAGAGUGCUCCGUCACAGUCCACUGUACAGGACGCUUUAUCCUUUCAGGUGGAGGCUAUUCAUGCCUGCUACACCCACGACCUCCCAUCACUCCCCAAAGUGGCCUGUACAGCAUGUGGGCGCCAUCAAAGGCCUUUAGUGGCCAUCAGUCCAGGGAACACUCCAUUGUAUGCUUGUAUUGGAUGCUUUUUGGAUGAUGAAGACCUGGAGCUGCACCACACCUUCAUACCUCACACAAGUAAUCACUCAGAGGGUUUUAUUUUGCUAUACUGCAAAAAAAAAAAGUGAAUCAAACAGGAUGAAUUAUAUUUACAGGAGGUUUUUUUUGUACCUGUGCCUAUCCAAUUUAUUUUGUAAAUCAAGCAAAAAGCACAUUUAACAACAGCGGAUCGUCCACUGUCUCUGUCUCCCUGCUGGCUGGUUUUCCUCCUCCUGGUCAUCCACUGCUGUAUUUGGCCCUGGUUUGUCUACAGGGAUGGAGGUAAUUAGGCCGGGGGUGGUGGAAUGUCUCUGUCCCAGCACUAACACCUCAUCCAGGAAGAGAAACCACGGCCAAGAUGCAGCAGUGGGUUUAACUGAUCCAACGUUUGUGUAGAGGAAAUCAAUCAGGGCAGUUAACAACAGAACAACUCAUUUCAGCACAAGGGUAGGUGGGUAUGAACCUACACGAUUAAAAUAAGUGCAGUUUUCAUUUUAAAUCACAUGUACAAAGUUCUGAUUGCAGAUUUAAAACCAUCAUGUUGACUCAGAGAGGCAAACUUAGAAAGAUUAUAAAAGACGACACAACAGGACAGAUCCUGAAUCCUCCAGAAAUUAAGAAGUCAUUAACUUUGAUGCCUCAGGUAAAAGAUUAUGAAUCAGCUUUUGUUGCCAUACCUCCAGGCAACACGGGCCAAAUGUUCUGCCUCAGUGAACAGAUCGCUGUUUUACACCCUCAGGUUGAUAUUCGGAGCUGUCGGCUUCCUGCUGUCUAAAACAAAACUAAAUGUUAGAUCAGGUUUUCCUUCACACCACCAAAAGAAAGCAUCUUAACUUGAGUAUAUGCUAAUUAUCAUCAUUUACACUCGACCAAGCAGGAUUUACAAUUUGUCCACUUUGGUCCAUUAAUGAAUAUAAUAUGAAAAAUCGAGUCUGUUUACUUAUUUAGCACAUUUACACAGAGCUAAAAUACUGACAAAAUACUGCAAGAUGCUGAACAUAAAAAGUAAAAAAAGAAAACAGCUCCUUAACAACAACAACCAAGCUUCCUUAUUUUGAGUCUCAUGUGAUGUCCACAAUCAGAAUCAUUAAAGGUUUAGACUGAGACAACUGUCCUCAAAGUGAUGAAUGCAACUAGUUAAACAAUUAACAGAAAUUACAAUUUAUCAUAAAUUAUUUAAUUACCUAAUGUCUAACUAAUUUAAAUUUUAAUGAUAUUUUAAUUUGUAAAUAUUACUGUAAAUAUGCACAUUUUUAGUGCAUUUAUUGUACAAAUCACUACCAAAAUAUGAAAAUAUAUGUGCAUUUUAUAUAAAUAAGAACUGUGGCUACAUCUUGAUACUGUUAGAUUAGCUACUAUAAUGCAAAACAGGUAGAAACACAGCUGACUCUGCAGUACAAGGAUUAUAUCCAACAGAGUGGGGCCUUUAAUGAUACAUAUCAUUUUAUUAGCUUCAGCAAAAAACAGCUAAUAUGCAUUUAAACAGACAAAAGUGCACAACAAAAUAAAACUCAAUCAAAACAUAACAAUAUAUUUAUUCGGACCUCCAAGUGCUAAAUGUCAAUUAAUACAAAAUUAAUUGACUGCCUUCAUGCUGGGA
Long non-coding RNA from Amphiprion ocellaris (clown anemonefish), 3132 nucleotides. RefSeq lists it as uncharacterized. The transcript has 3 exons. Lineage: Eukaryota; Metazoa; Chordata; Actinopteri; Pomacentridae. The record is from RefSeq and is a predicted model, not a curated record.